CCCACCUCGGCCUCCCAAAGUGCUGGGAUUACAGGCAUGAGCCACUGCUCCCGGCCACUUAUGUAUUAGUCACUUAAUCAUUAAUAGUGCUGUUGAUAGCAACUCUUCCCAAAAUCACUUGAAGGGAAAUUGGGGUGUCUUCAUCUUCAGAAGUGGUGACCUGGCUCCCCAGCGCCUGACACCACUCCCUGCUCCCCAUGCCAGGGCCGAGCCACGUGUCCAUGCAGCAGACGGCGCCUAACACGCUGCCCACCACCUCCAUGAGCAUCUCUGGGCCCGGCUACAGCCACGCGGGACCCGCCUCGCAGGGCGUCCCCAUGCAGGGGCAAGGCACCAUCGGCAACUACGUGUCUCGGACCAACAUCAACAUGCAGUCCAACCCAGUCUCCAUGAUGCAGCAGCAGGCGGCCACGUCGCACUACAGCUCGGCGCAGGGCGGCAGCCAGCACUACCAGG
Molecule: small RNA, 456 nt
Filed under: Pan troglodytes (chimpanzee)
Lineage: Eukaryota; Metazoa; Chordata; Mammalia; Primates; Hominidae
Description: processed transcript
Source: RNAcentral